UACGAAGGGGGCUAGCGUUGCUCGGAAUUACUGGGCGUAAAGCGCACGUAGGCGGCUUUCUAAGUCGGGGGUGAAAUCCUGGAGCUCAACUCCAGAACUGCCUUCGAUACUGGAGAGCUCGAGUCCGGGAGAGGUGAGUGGAACUGCGAGUGUAGAGGUGAAAUUCGUAGAUAUUCGCAAGAACACCAGUGGCGAAGGCGGCUCACUGUCCCGGUACUGACGCUGAGGUGCGAAAGCGUGGGGAGCAAACAGG
Molecule: ribosomal RNA, 253 nt
Filed under: uncultured bacterium
Lineage: Bacteria
Description: partial 16S ribosomal RNA
Rfam family: Bacterial small subunit ribosomal RNA
Source: RNAcentral